This 89-nucleotide transfer RNA is filed under the name Billgrantia gudaonensis. Its description in RNAcentral is "Halomonas gudaonensis tRNA-OTHER". It matches the Rfam family "tRNA". Rfam says of the family: Transfer RNA (tRNA) molecules are approximately 80 nucleotides in length. The record is from RNAcentral. Lineage: Bacteria; Pseudomonadati; Pseudomonadota; Gammaproteobacteria; Oceanospirillales; Halomonadaceae.
GGAGGGAUGGCAGAGCGGUUGAAUGCACCGGUCUUGAAACCGGCGAAGGUGAGAGCCUUCCCAGGGUUCGAAUCCCCGUCCCUCCGCCA